AUGGUUGAGGCCAAAACUAGCAUAGCUGCUGGAAAGUUUUUGCAUAUGAGAUGUGCGGCACAUAUUGUCAACCUUAUUGUACAAGAUGGCCUAAAAGAAGUUGAACUUUCAAUCAAACGUGUCCGAGCUGCUGUGCGAUACAUCAAGAAUGGGACUUCUCGGUUGGUAAAAUUCAAAGAGCUAGCAUUGGAAGAAAAAGUUAAGAGCAAAGCAUUCUUGAACCUAGAUGUAUGCACUCGGUGGAACUCAACUUACAUAAUGUUGAAGGCUGCCAUCACCUACGCGAAGGUGUUUACAAGGUACUGUGAGGAUGACCCAUUGUAUGCGUUGGACUUGUCUGAAGAAAAAGGAGGAUUUGGGUAUCCAGAUGAAAUGGAUUGGUAA
RNAcentral lists this ribosomal RNA (384 nucleotides) under Triticum aestivum (bread wheat). RNAcentral describes it as "partial small subunit ribosomal RNA". Lineage: Eukaryota; Viridiplantae; Streptophyta; Magnoliopsida; Poales; Poaceae. The record is from RNAcentral.